AGUGAACGCUGGCGGUAGGCCUAACACAUGCAAGUCGAACGGCAGCACAGGAGAGCUUGCUCUCUGGGUGGCGAGUGGCGGACGGGUGAGGAAUACAUCGGAAUCUACUUUUUCGUGGGGGAUAACGUAGGGAAACUUACGCUAAUACCGCAUACGACCUACGGGUGAAAGCAGGGGACCUUCGGGCCUUGCGCGAUUGAAUGAGCCGAUGUCGGAUUAGCUAGUUGGCGGGGUAAAGGCCCACCAAGGCGACGAUCCGUAGCUGGGCUGAGAGGAUGAUCAGCCACACUGGAACUGAGACACGGUCCAGACUCCUACGGGAGGCAGCAGUGGGGAAUAUUGUACAAUGGGCGAAAGCCUGAUCCAGCCAUACCGCGUGGGUGAAGAAGGCCUUCGGGUUGUAAAGCCCUUUUGCUGGGAAAGAAAUCCAGCUGGCUAAUACCCGGUUGGGAUGACGGUACCCAAAGAAUAAGCACCGGCUAACUUCGUGCCAGCCGCCGCCGUAA
This 506-nucleotide ribosomal RNA is filed under the name uncultured bacterium. RNAcentral describes it as "partial 16S ribosomal RNA". It matches the Rfam family "Bacterial small subunit ribosomal RNA", at positions 29 to 523 of the family's 1533-position model. The record is from RNAcentral.